UCCAGAGGCCGCCUCUCCAAACGCCGAAUAGUUUUGCAAGGGAUUGAUGCCGAUUGCCAAAACCUCUCUGCCCUGAAGCCAGCAAGUGGAAACGUUUCCGUUUCUCCUCUGGAUCUGACCCGAAGUCCCGGGACCCGAUGCCAUUCUGAAGAUUUAUUAGUGAAUCCUUCAUCUGCAAGACAAGAAAUUUCGCUGCUGUGAUGCUACCCUAGAGAAUUCUCACCUCGACGUGCACGGACCCCUCUGAGGUGACAGAGAAGCUACAGUAACCUGCAAAUAGCCCUUGGGACCCGCUGCCCACCACUACGUCAGCAGACGGAUCUAAAGGGAGACUGUAGCGGAGGUGACGCACCAGGCGGACUACAGUGGAACCAGAAAUAAUCUCUCAACAGUCCAGCUUCUUUCUGCAUUGGUAUCCCUUGUCAAAAUCACCACCCAGGACCAGACCCGAAUAGAUUUUGCCAGACCAGAGGAAAGAAGUAACAGACUCCUUACUCACACUGAGCCCUGUUGUGAUAGCAGAGUAACUCCCAAUGAGCUUUGCAUGGUCGGUUUUUUUGUGAUAACAGCUAGUUUGUUGACAGAUUACAUUAAAUGACUUAUUUUAAAUUAGCA
Molecule: non-coding RNA, 615 nt
Organism: Phalacrocorax carbo (great cormorant)
Lineage: Eukaryota; Metazoa; Chordata; Aves; Suliformes; Phalacrocoracidae
Source: RefSeq, a predicted model, not a curated record